GUUCCAGACUCCUACGGGAGGCAGCAGUGGGGAAUAUUGCACAAUGGGGGAAACCCUGAUGCAGCGACGCCGCGUGAGCGAAGAAGUAUUUCGGUCUGUAAAGCUCUAUCAGCAGGGAAGAAAAUGACGGUACCUGAGUAAGAAGCUCCGGCUAAAUACGUGCCAGCAGCCGCGGUAAUACGUAUGGAGCAAGCGUUAUCCGGAUUUACUGGGCGUAAAGGGAGCGUAGGCGGCCUGCCAAGUCUGGAGUGAAAGGCGGGGGCCCAACCCCCGGACUGCUUUGGAAACUGUAUAACUGGAGUGCAGGAGAGGUAAGUGGAAUUCCUAGUGUAGCGGUGAAAUGCGUAGAUAUUAGGAGGAACACCAGUGGCGAAGGCGGCUUACUGGACUGUAACUGACGUUGAGGCUCGAAAGCGUGGGGAGCAAACAGGAUUAGAUACCCGGGUAAC
This 449-nucleotide ribosomal RNA is filed under the name uncultured bacterium. Its description in RNAcentral is "bacterial SSU rRNA". It matches the Rfam family "Bacterial small subunit ribosomal RNA", at positions 328 to 794 of the family's 1533-position model. The record is from RNAcentral.